CUACUCGCACGUCCAAUUGAUGUAUAGUAUCUCUAUUUAAGUUGUGCAUGGUAUCUGGUAGCUGUCUAGCCACUACAACAAAAACGGUCUAUAGCGACACUUUUAAAUGUAGGUACAUGUCAAAAAAGUGCUGCUAGCUAAAAUUACCGACACUUUUAAAAAGUGUUGCUAUAUGUAGGGUCGCUAGGUGUAAGGACUGAGAUUUUUGCAGUGUAGCUAAACUCUCAGUUGACGAUGUUUUUGUGUGUAAUUGAAUUACAAAAGCACUCGUCAAGUUUCGGGCGAAAACGAGUUAAAACGGAAAUUCUACGCGAUUUCCAAGUUUCACUUAAAGUGAAUAGUAACUCGAUUUUCCGGAGAAGCCACGGUGUGAAGUUGGCUUCAGGCUCGUAUCGGACUCNUACAAAAGUACGGCCAAAUAGAAAAGAUGCAAUGAAUGGAAGCUAAAACAUAAUAGAUAAUUCAUUUGUUGAUGAACAAUGCAUAAAAUACUUAAUUUAGCAAAUUAAUUCACAGGUCAUCCAUAAUUUUCAAUGGUUUUUUUGUCAAAAUUCAUAUAUAACAGUAGCGAACAACACAGAAAUAGUGGAGCAACAAAUAAUUCGUGAAAAAUCUCUAAAAUUUCUAAAAAAAAGAAAAUAUAAAAUCGGAGAACACAGUGACUAUGCCUUAGACUUGGUGGGGAACGAGAACAAGGCGAGGUCGAGGGCGAAGGGAGGAGCCCAGGAUUUGGGUGGUACGAUGCGGCAGAUCCCGAAGGGCUCAGCGAGGGGCCGGAUCUGGUCUAUGUAGGCGAGCGGGUCCACGAACUCCUCCUCCGUGGGGUAGAACACGGGAGCGUGGGGGAUGCCGACGCCGCCGCCGCCGCCGUCGCCGCCGCCGUAGGAGGCGGCGGCGGCGGAGGAGGAGGCGGCGGCGGCGGAUGAAGGGUCGGAGAGGUGGGCGGCGCCGCCCUUCACGACGUCGCGGGGGCGACCCUUCGCCAUCUAGGGUUUCGGUUUGCGUUGGCGCGGGGGGGAAGAAGCUCGGGUAGUUGGAGGAGGAGAACGAUAGAGUGGAUUUUAGUGGAGGAGAAUGAUGCGUCACGUGAGAGACUAUAUGGGUCGAGGUGGAAGGGGUUCGUGGAGAUGGUGAUCGGAGAGGGGAGAACGGGAGAUAGCUCGUGACUCAGUUUUUUUUUUUUUUUUAAGUAAUUGGGCCGGGUGGGGUGGGGUGGUGGAGCAGGAUAAUUUUUUUGUAGGGCUAGAUUGGGCUUCAUAUUUGGGCCUUGAUUAUUUUUUUUUAAAAAAAAAUUGGAUAUAUAGGACACUUGUAUAAAAGUGUCCCUAAAAUGUGUCACUAUAACCUAGUUUUGUUGUAGUGUAACUCGAUUUUUCGGAGAAGCCACGGUGUGAAGUUGGCUUCAGGCUCGUAUCGGACUCCGUUCCUAGCGGUCCAAUAGCUCGUUUCAACCGGUUCAGCUGUUCUGGAACUAAUGGCGCUGACGGAUUUUGAGUUCGAUGCACGGAUUUCGAGAAAAUCCAAAAAUACAUAUUCUAUAUGUAUUUAGGUGUGUUUUCUUCUGUUGAAAGGAAGGUUGGAUUUUGUCGUGAAUCCGUGGUCGAUCGAGACGAAACGAAAUCGUAGCUUUGUUGUCUCCCUCGUGCUGAUCGCACUGGUGCGAUCCGUUCGCAAAUCUGACGGACGGAUCUGCGGAGAUCACGCAUUGAUCGAGGAGAGGUCGGUAGUGGCAAAACGAUAUUUUCGCAAAAGUCGCGAUAUUUUAUGUAUCGUUUCGCGUGAGAUCGCACGUGGAGGGGUAUUCGUGCAUUUUAGUCAUGCUGUGAGGGACUCGGUAUGAAUUACCGGUGUUUGGUGGACCUUUUUGCAAGUUGCACCUUGUAUAUAUAAGCUCUUUAGGGUUUUGUUUCACCUAACCCUAACCUAGCCCUAGCCAACCACCCAGCCGCCUCCCUCUCCUUCCCCUGCACCUGCUGCGCGCGCCCAGGCCGCCGCCGACCGAGCCCCGGCCGGCCAACCACCGCGGCAGCCACCACUUUCCUCCCUCGCCCUCUCUUUCUCUCUCCCUCUCUCCUCUCGGGUUGUGUGGAGGCUCGGGGCUGCGCCACCUUUAGACCCUCCCCCAGGGUCGCCCCGUGCUCCGGCACCCCUUCCCGCCGGUCGCCGUCGCCGCCUCGGCCAGUUGCAGCCGCCCCAGCCCGAGCCCAGGCCGAGAGUUUGUUGCGACCUCUUUCCCGCGUCGCCGCCAUCUUGGGCCACCCCGAGGCACUUCUCCGGCCUACUGCAACCCGCCGCCGACGUCCCCGACCUACCCCAGCCGCCGCCAUGGCCGCAGCUUCCUUGGAACCCGAGCCCGAGCUCGUGUGGGCUGAGCUUGCUCCGCCGCUGCCACCGCCGCUUCUCGUCUCCAACGGAGGUGAGCUUCGUGNCACGUCUUUGUCAUGAUUAAUGUGAGUGGCCUCGUUCCGAAUGUGUUGAACCGGCCGCCGCCGGCCUGCCGCCCGCAUAGCCUUCGUCCGCCCAUGGCCGCUACCUCCCUACGGUCCCGCGUGCAGCCGGCCGCAGUCCUCCGCCGCCGUCGCUGCCCGUAACUACGGGAUCGGCGUGCUUUACCACCCCUCUAGCCGGCUGCCCCUCGGCCGCCGUCUGCUUACGCCGGUCGGACCCUCACGGCCGCGAGUGCGAUUGACCACCGUCUUCCGCCGCUACCGAGCGUCGAGUCCGCGCCGGUGGGCUCGAGCCGAGUCGUCUCCCAGCGCGCCGCCGCGGGUUCCGCACGCCGCCGCUGCCGCCGGUUAGACCGUCCUGCGCCCCCACGGAAGCCAGUACUCCCUCCAGCCGCUACACAAGGGACAGUCGCCGCUGCGCCCCCUCCGCUACGCCGGUAAGGAGACAGGUAUGACCUCACCCGACGGGGUCUCAAGUGCGCGCCACCAGCCGCCGCGGGCCCCUGCUGCCCCUCCCCGCGGCCUCCAGAGGCCUCUACGGUCCUCUUGCCGCACCGGCCGCCCUUCGUCGCCGCCACGCUCCUCCGUCCCUAGUGGGUCCGAGCCGGACCCACUGACAAUCGGCGUCCUUCGAUCUCGCCGAGGCCGCCGCGUACCCCUGCCAUCUCCGGCCGCCGCUACCACGGCUCUACCCGGAGCCGGUGUCCUUCUUCGAAUCAGUGCUCAACCACGGUAGACUCGAGUUCUCAACUCCUUCCACCACCGAUCCACCUCUCCUACCACCUCCUCUCCGGCUAGAUCCAAAAGCCACCGGCCCCUGCGAGCGGCCGCUGGCCCCGUACGCGUGACCCACCUGUCCCCCUCGAUUCAGUUGAUCCUGACGAUUCCAAUCGGCUCCCUACCUAAUCCCAAUCCCAAAGUGUACCCUUUGGGAUUUCCAUGAUAUAUAUGUAGUUCCAAAUUAACGGCGAAUCAGAAGGCUUCUGUUUAUAAAAAUUGGGCCAGGGACGGGCACGCACAUUAUACGCUCAUGCGUGGGGCUGCAAGCUUUAGAACGCUUUGUCGUGUAUUUUACAAUCUAGAAAAGCGCUAAAGAGGUAAAACGAUUAAAACUGGAGAUUCACUUUUGAUACGUUUAUGACCUCUAGGCAGACAGCUAAAAGCUAAGCUGACGUGGUAGCGUAAGUCGUGCAGCCCCCGUAGUUUUGAUGUUAGAACAAAGUAGUCUAAACCGGUGUCUAAGCGCUGCCUUGGGUAGACGAGAGAUUGAUUAGGUAUAUAGUGUGUAUAUGGUUACACAUUUGAUUAAUUUGGUUCAAAGCGUAAACUUUAGCUGAAGGGAUACAGUACGGGGCCCUGGCCGCCUCCGGGAGGGCCAUCGCACGGGUCUGGGCGGUAUACAGAUGUGUAUAUUCCGCAGAUGUGAUUUUCGCCUUCAUUUUCGUCCUCUAUCUUGUUUAUUUUCAUCGCUUUAUUGAUCGUUGAUGACUAUAGUCUCGUUCAUCUCAAGAUAGUAGAUGUGGUUUCAUUUCUUUUAUUUCGAUCAGUUUGUUUCUAUUGGUAUUCAUCAUGUUAUUGGCAGAGAUCAUGUUUUUACCGCCAGAGAUAUGUAUAUGCCCAUGUUGAGAGUUGGAGAGUGUUUUUCUUUUGUGCUCUCCAUCUGGUGGAUAGCUUGCUAGGGAGCCAUUCGUGCGAUCGGGCUCCGCUAUGGGAAAGGCGCUAGGGACCGGAGAGGGACGCACCUUCCGAGACUUUUUGUAGCUCUUUUUCUCCCGCACUCUUGAUAUUAAAUAUCAAGGGUCACCCGUUAAUGACUGGAGUCGAGAACUGUUUAAGGUUCGGAUCGCGGUUUCGGCGAUCCGAAGGCACCCCGAUGAUGAAGAAAGUGAGCACGAUCAUCCUCUUUCUGUGCUGAACAUCAUGCUCACCUUCGUUUAGGUCUGAGAUUCCCUGGUUAGCGAGUUCAACGCGAUUUAUACCCUGUGCGCGCUGUUUCGCUAACUUUCGCGUCGCUCAUGCAGGUGCCACAGUAGCCGGAAGUGCUCCGAAAGGGGAGCACGGCCUCCAGCACCCCGAGACCUAUCAACGGGUGUCUCGGUUCAGCUAAAUAACCCUCAGGUCGCGCUAGUGAGUCAUAAAAGCCCCGAAAUCACAUAAAUAAUGUGAUUUUGGAUAAUCGGGUGGGCUUUUAUGCAUUUUCGUUCGUCGUGGCUAUUGUUGGCAGCAUGUGCGGGCAGUGGAUAACCUAUGGACUGAUUGUCCAAGGCCCCAAGCCCUUAUGGAAAUCGAAAAGUGAUUUCCGGCACAUUUCUCGGCGAAAUCCGCCGACGGAACGUGGGUUCGGUUCGGAAUUCUUCCGACGGUGCUUCGUGAUGAUUAUUUAUGUAUAGUGGUAGCGAGUGACUCAUAGCACGAGUCGGUGUGUUCCGGGACAGUUCAUGGAUCCCGGCGGUGUCCCGGUGCGAUUUUCGGGACUUCCGACGAGUUACGGUAGUCGUUUUUGGGAAACCGAUCUCCGUGGCAUUAGUUUGUGGGAUGUGGAGUCAGUGGUUAUUAGUGGUAGGUUAUACACUAACUCGGUGGACCUUCCUUAGGUCCGGUUGAUAUUCUUUUUGCAGUCAGGAGACAGACGCGACAUCCUUACAGGUGGGUACUUCGACCCGACGUCGGUACAGUGGUGCACGCUCGGUGAUGGUUUCUUACCUUUAUUCUCUCGUUAUUAUCUGGCAUAUAUAUAUAUCUUGCUAUAUAGUGUUGAGCCUAGCACCAUGUUGUUUCAGUUAUGCUCUACUCGGUUAUUUUCGUUAUAUCUAGUAUCAUGAGUAGGAGUAGAGUAGUUAUUCCAUGUUUCUUUGUUACUCUAUUUAGCUGUUCUGCAUAUCCGGUAUCAUGUUUAGAGUAGAGCAUCUUCGUGACUUUCAUUGUUUGAUGACCGUUGAGGUCGGUAUAUCCUGAGGAGUGAGAUUGUCGGUUAAUGGCCGACGGAUGAUUAUAGUUUUCACAGAUCUGUCAUUUGACCCUUUGUGACCUAGUCUGUCAGUUCUGGAUUCUUGUCGUUUGAUGACCCACGAGGUCAGUGUACCCUGAGGGGUAGGAUUGUCAGCUAGUGGCUGACGGCAGUUCCAGAUUAUAGUGAUACAUUCCUGUGACUUAUUGGUUGAUUCCUGCAUCUAUACUUUAGUUGAUCCAUCGAGCAGUAUUUCCAUACUUUUGAGAGGAUGUUGAGUCGAUUCGUUGUGCAUAUAUCCUAGUUGACCUGAGUGGUCAGUCCUUGUGGUUCAUUGAGCAGUACUUGCAUAUGUUUGAGAGGAUGUCGAUGUUGUCCCAUCCUAGUUGACCUGAGUGGUUGGUUCUUGUGCUUUCUUACAGUUGGAUGACCUUUUGGUCGGUUAGCCCCGAGGGGCGGUGAUUGUCGGCUGAUUGCCGACAGUUGGCUAUUGAUCAUAUCUGCAUUGAUCGCCACAGCUCGAGUGCAUUUCACGUACACCAGCGGGUUGAUCCCCCGCAGGAGGGUGUUCUGUUCCGGAAAAGUGGUCGUACAUCCGACCCGUGAGCCCAGCGGUGUUGUCUUUGUGCUAGGGUUACAUGCCAGGUGUGAGCAGGUAGUGGCUUUUGCCUGAGGUCCUUAGUCCGACACGGCGGUUUAGAUUGGGUACUUUUGGACUUCUCGUCCAGUUGACGCAUAUAGCUAUAGUAGCGGUUGUUGUAUAUAUACUUCUAGUUCUUUCUUUACAGUUGUCUUACUACUAUAGUUUUGAUAUCCUUGUAUACUUGCAGUUGUACAUUAUAGUAGCGGUAGUUGUGCUUUCAUAUAUAUAUCUCAUUCGUUCAUUAUCGUUGCUACUGUAUUNAUGUUGUGAGCUGGUUGAAUUUGUGGAUUUGUGGAAUUGUGGAUUUGGUUUAUGGAUCUUCAGUUUUGGGAUGUUUGUAUACUUUGUGGUUCGCGGAUUUGUAUUUAUGGAUUUACGCAUCGUGGUUUUCUACCCCUCGAGGUAGUCAGUUUUUAAAAUAGAGUUUCCGUGUGGAAAACAGUUUUCAAAAGAUUUUUGAAUGAUUUUCAUGUAUGAAUGAAUUAGAUUUUAAAAACAAAAGCUUCCGUGUGGGGAGCACUUUUAAAUAGGAUGAUUGUUGUACUGUGUAUUGCAUCAUCCAGCGUCUAAGGAGUGUUUAGAGGCAUGCAUCAUCUCUAAGGAUUGUUAGCUGUAUGAAAAUGCAUAUCAUGAAUUGGUUGCUGAUUGAAAAAUGUAGGUUGUGGUUGUGAUCCUGUUGUAUCCGUUGGUACGCCGUGCAAAUACAAAGGAGACUCUGUCCGAGUGAACAGAUGAACUUUGUAUUUGUGGCGGGUCUGUACGUCACGUGGGCCAGGUUGGAAAAAAAAAAAAAAAUGGCACAUCUUCCGCGACUCUCAGAUUUCAAAAUGGUAAUGGCUUUUAAGAUCGGCCCCAGGGCGUGACACUAGGUAUAUAGUGACAGUUAAAGAGUGCCGCUAUAACCUAAAAGAGUACUGCUAAUUUUCCAACACUUAUUUAAGCAUUUAGCAACCGCCGAAACUCUAUCUCGUUGGCUGCGGUGGCGGAAGAGGACGACAGUAAAGGCUCUUCGUUUAAAAUUUCAGUGGAUUGAGUGAAGAGUGAAGAAAAGAUGGUAAUUGAUUUUUCUUUUUUUUUUUUCUUUUCUGUUUGUAAUCGGGCCAAAUUGACUCGGUGUGGUGGGUUGAGUAGAGUAAUCUUUUAUUUUUGGUUGGAUUGGGCUUUAUAUUUAGACAUUAGUAGAUGUGUUUUUAAGUUUUAGCAUAAAUGGGACACUUACUCAAAAGUGUCCCAAAUAUGUGUCCCUAUAACCUAAUUCUGUUGUAGUGAGCUUACAGUAGCAGCAUCCCUCGUUUAGUAGUUUAUGAUAU
RNAcentral lists this long non-coding RNA (7347 nucleotides) under Ananas comosus (pineapple). Its description in RNAcentral is "long non-coding RNA (ACOM_LNC016778)". Lineage: Eukaryota; Viridiplantae; Streptophyta; Magnoliopsida; Poales; Bromeliaceae. The record is from RNAcentral.